Molecule: long non-coding RNA, 3308 nt
Filed under: Salmo salar (Atlantic salmon)
Lineage: Eukaryota; Metazoa; Chordata; Actinopteri; Salmoniformes; Salmonidae
Description: lncRNA (ENSSSAG00000089091.1)
Source: RNAcentral
CUGUCUUGUACCUCUUCGUAUCUCUUCCUCAUCCAGCUAACAUCUGUCUGGGAAAUGUAGCUCUGUGCAUGCCCUUUUCUGGUGAUCUUGCAUCAGACCUGCCAGUGAUUUGCAUACUGCUACUACUGCUUGUAGAGCUUCAAACAACGAUUAUCUGUCGAUGAAACCACAGCUUAUGAAGAGAAUACAGACAGCGUUAGAGGAUCCCUGAAUUGGGAGUCGUCACGCCGGCUUUCUCCACAGACUACCUGGCCUGAUGACUACUUGCUGUCCCCAGUCCACCGGGUCAUGCUGCUGCUCCAGUUUCAACUGUUCUGCAUGCGACUAUGGAACCCUGACCUGUUCACCGGACGUGCUACCUUGUCCCAGACCUGCAGUUUUCAACUCUCUAGAGACAGACGGUGCGGUAGAGAUACUCUGAAUGAUUGGCUUUGAAAAGCCAACCGACAUUUACUCCUGAGGUGCUGACCUGUUGCACCCUCUACAACCACUGUGAUUAUUAUUAUCUGACCCUGCUGGUCAUCUAUGAACAUUUGAACAUCUUGGCCAUGUUCUGUUAUAAUCUCCACGCGGCACAGCCAGAAGAGGACUGGCAAGCCCUCAUAGCUUGGUUCCUCUCUAGGUGUCUUCCUAGGUUCCGGCCUUUCUGGGGAGUUUUUCCUAGCCAUUGUGCUUCUACACCUGCAUUUCUUGCUGUUUGCUGUUUGGGGUUUUAGGCUGGGUUUCUGUACAGCACUCUGUGACAUCAGCUGAUAUAAGAAGGGCUUUAUAAAUAGAUUUGAUUGAUAAGCUACAACUAGCUAGCACUACAGUGCAUAAAAUGUGGUGAGUAGUUGACUCAAAGAGAGAGAAAGACAAUAGUUCAAAAGUUUAGAACAAAUUAAUUUCUUCCAAAAUGAAGGAGACUCAAGAGAGAAACAGCGAGAGAGAGAGAUUGUCAAAAAAAAUCUGUUUCACUUACUUACAAAUGCAGCUAGCUAAUUAAGCCUACUGAAACACCCUGCUCAAACAGAGGGAUGCUAUGUUAGCUAGCUGUCUAUGACUUUCCAACACAGCACUGGAACUCUUCCAAGUCAAGGUAAGCUUUUGGUUUUACUAAUGUAUUGCCACCGGGGCCCGUUGGUGUAACUGCUUACUAAGUGUACACUAACGUUUCUGCAUGAUUGUAGCUUGUUUACAAAUGUGUUAGUUCUAUUAGCUAUUCUGACUAUGAAAUUACUUUAGCUAAUAUGGUGACAAUGAUGGAGGCUGUGUAUAGCGGUUUGGCUUAGAAUGUAAGGUUCGACGCAGGAGAUGAGAAGCAGGUACAGGGAGUCAAGGUUUAAUAGCUGACGGACAUGAAACGGAACAGGAACAGUGUCUGGACAGGAAUACAUAACAACAAUUAAUGCGGACACAGGGAACACCACUGAGGAACAGGGUAUAAUCAAAAUGUGAAGGAGUCCAGGUGAGUCCAAUGAGCGCUGCUGUGCGGAUCGCCCAUGGCGUCCCACCUGGGCAAUCCUGGCGAGCCAGUUGAGGCGUGGGAGCCUGACGAUCCAGCUGAGGCGUGAAAGCCUGACAAUCCUGCUGCAGUGGAGAAGCCCGAUGGGCCGGCUGAAGCAUGACGUGAUAUGGAAACCUGCCGAGCCAACCGAGGCAAGGAAACCUCUCGAGCCAACUAGGGUGUGACAGCCCGACGAGCCAGCUUAGGCACCCCCGGUUCCAUCAGUGGCGGAAUCCAAGCCCGAUGUCACCGACAAAACAAAAAAAAUUAUGGGCCGGCUGAGGCAUAGGAGCCCAACAAGCCGGCUGAAGCAUGACGUGGGAUGGGAACCUGCCAAGCCAACCAGGGCAAGGAAACCUCACGAGACAGCUAGGGCAUGAGAGCCCGACGAGCCAGCUUAGGCGGCGGCCCCCGGGUCCAAAGUCAACAACAAAACAAAACCCUAAAAAACUCCCUGAUGCUUCAGAUAAUGGUGUUUGCAUUCUGGAAGGAUCGAUGCAGGAGAUGAGAAGCAGGUACAGGGACUGAAGGUAUAAUAGCUGACGGAUAUGAAACAGAACAAGAACACUGUCUGGACAGGAACACAUAGCAACAAUUAAUGCAGACACAGGGAACACCACCGAGGAACAGACAGAUAUACAGGGGGUAAUCAACAAAGCGAAGAAGUCCAGGUGAGUCCUAUGAGCGCUGCUGCGUGAAAUGAUGGUGACAGGUGCGUGUAAAGAAGGGUAGCCUGGUGCCCUUGAGCACCAGAGAGGGGGAGCAGGAGCAGGCGUGACAUGGAAAGGUUUUUUCACCUGGUCACAUACAGCUGAUGUGUUGUGCACUGAAGUCCACAAGCAAAGGCAAGAGGUGAAAUUAGGAGAGCUCAUAGAUACGAGAAGGAAAACAACAUGGCUGCUAUGAAAGUGAACUGUGGAGUGUGAUAAGCUACGCGUGAUAAGGGGUGUAUUCAUUCCGCCUAUUCUGUUGAAAAACGUUUCUUAAACGGAAGCAAACGGAUCAAAACGGGGAUAAACAUACCUGCAUUUGUCCAAUAUAAACUCUCGUUUAAAACUGUUGGACUAAUGAUUACACCCUAUAUCAGCUAGAUGCAGGCAAUAGUUUGCAAGGCGGUAUUGAAUGUCACUGUCUGUCCAUGUGUCACUCUCUGUCACCUACGUUGUGAACUCAUUCAUAGGCUAGGUUGUAGCAACCUCAUGAUGGUCAGGACGUGACAUGAAGCAGAUACACCAAUGAUGCAAAUAAUAAAAGUCUUGGGUCAGAAUAUAAUUAAUUGAAUUAGUGUGACAGCUUUAAAUAUAAAUAAUUAGAUCCACACUGUCCCUUUGAAUAAUGUUUAGGAACAUAACGCUGCCAUAACAAAAACCCUCUGUGGAUGAGAUUUCCCACCCCUGCUGAAGACAACUAAAUUGUGUGAUUAGGGCUAAACAAGUGAACAUGACAAUCAAUUGACAGAAAACUGUUUACCAACCAAGAAUAGAUCCUUGAUGCCUGGGGGUGCAGGGCUCAUGGGUUGCAGGAGCAUUUAUUGUGUCGAUAGACAAUUGGUGUCUGGGGGUUGCAGGGCUCUUAUGGUGUGGCUUUACUAUACGAGCACUCAGCUUCUUCUGAGUCUGUAGGUUCAGCUAUUUCCUCUGAAAAGUAUAAGUAUGUUUGUAUAAUGUAUAGUCGGAUACUCCAGCUAACGUCAAACAUUCCGCCAACUCCACAGCGUUAGCCUUUAAUAGAUGUUUAUAUGGCAGGUUGUCGACCCUGGUUCACGUCUCACGCAGUGCUCACUCUCACAUGCUACAUCUAGCUACACUGAAGACAUUGGUAA